RNAcentral lists this ribosomal RNA (253 nucleotides) under uncultured bacterium. RNAcentral describes it as "partial 16S ribosomal RNA". It matches the Rfam family "Bacterial small subunit ribosomal RNA", at positions 524 to 776 of the family's 1533-position model. The record is from RNAcentral.
UACAGAGGGUGCAAACGUUGUUCGGAUUUACUGGGCGUAAAGCGCGUGUAGGCGGCUUUGCAAGUCGGGUGUGAAAGCCCUCAGCUCAACUGAGGAAGUGCGCCCGAAACUGCAGAGCUUGAGUGCCGGAGGGGGUGGCGGAAUUCCCCAAGUAGAGGUGAAAUUCGUAGAUAUGGGGAGGAACACCGGUGGCGAAGGCGGCCACCUGGACGGUAACUGACGCCGAGACGCGAAAGCGUGGGGAGCAAACAGG